AAUGUUUGCUUCAGAAAUCCAAUAUUUGUUUAUAAGUGGAUGGUAGAUUAAAAGUCCCAAAAUGAACUACCAUGAUGUUUUUCAUGUCAUAAAAUAGUAGAUUUGUGUACAGUUAUAAUCGCUAAGAUAUAUGAAAACUCCGUAAAUCAACGUGUUUUUAAUACUCCAUGUGAGUUUUAUAACCAUGCUAAUGACCCAGACUGCUUCUAACAACGUUCUUCAGGCGUUGGAAUGUUAUGACAUUUGUCACCCCAGCCCUGCCGGUCUAACUGUAGCUAACAGUUUAGGUGCGGGAUUGUCAAUCCCGUAUAGAUCUAUACACAAGUAUCACGCUCCCCCUACAAGGGAUUAUGGUAUAUAAUACAAGACUUAAUAAUGCAUACUCGAAAGUACGUGAAAUGUCUCACAACCUAGUAUAAAACAGAUUUACGUAUGAAAAUGUCCAUUUGUUCUUGUAUAUGAAAAUACCCCUUUGAUAUGGUACUUGUAGUAUGUAAAAUUUUAUGUAUAUCUAGUACACUAUCUGAUGUAAUCGUAUCUCUUGUAAUUGUAUGUCUUGAAAUUUAUAUGCCUUGUAAAUGUAUAUAAUCGUAUCUCCUUAUAUAGUAUGUAAUGCAUUAGUAUAGACUUAUAAAUAAACUGACUCUUAUGUGAUUCCUCGUACUUGGAAUGGUAAGUAGUAUAUCCUAACUAUACCUAUUAUAGUUACUAGUAGUGUAUGUGUAUAACCGAAAUAUGCCUUUGCUACCCAAAGGUACUGAACCAACUGAUGGAAAACUUUUAUGUUUAUAUCUGUAUACAUGAUAUAUAUAUAUAUACACACACACACACACACACACACACACANUUCAAUAAAUAAGAAAUGAUGACUGGAUGUCAGUUUAUAAAACGAUUUGAAAGUAGUUUGUUUGAUAAGAACAAUUUUGAGUAUAAGAAGACCUUUGUUUGAAAUACGAUUCUAACAGCGUUUGAAAGGAAACAUAAAGUAUGUAAGACAGUUUGAUAAAGAGUUUUUAACAUGUAAAAAUGUUUGUCGUAACCUAUUAUAGUUUUUCCAAAAGUUUGUUUCGUUUGUAUAGUAAACCCUAGUGUGAUGCUCACUUGUUAUGUAAUGUGUGACUUUUUGUGGUGACAUAAAUGAACAUAUAUACUCAAGGUAUAAAUAAAGUGUUUGAUUCGUAUAUAACAACAUAUUUAAUUUCAACAGAUAAGAUGAUAUCGUGAUAUAUUUUGCGUACGAAGGAUUCCAUAUAGUGGUUAUGAAUCACAUAUGAUUUUCUUGAUAAAAAUGAGUAUUUAGUGAAAUCUUGGGUUACACACGAUAAAAAUCGUGUGUUUACUUGUAUUCCCCCCCUUAAAAGUGUAUAUAUAAAGUAUUGAUAACACAUUUAAAAAUGUAGUUUAUAGGGGUAUGAACUCACCGAAGAAAGUGCAUGAUUUGAAGAAAACGAGAUUUUCCCGUGCGGCACCUCGACCGGAAAGUGACGAGAUUCUCAGGAAUCUCGGGGCUUCGGACCUUCGUCGGGGCUUAGAUAUGAAACCGGGAAGUCGGGAUGUUGUCGGCACGAAAAACGAGGCGAAAAUGUGAGAGAAAUGAAGGAUUUUAGUGAAAACAACCGGCACCCUCGCAAUCUAUUUAUAGGAGCUGGAGGUCCUCGGUACGCUGGGUGUACUUCGGACUUACGCGGGGCGUUCCUCGUACGCGGGGCGUACUCCGAAGGUACGCGGGGCGUUCGCUUGCAUCACUGCUGACCGCAUCCUCAGAAGACGUGGGUGGCCGACGUGGAUGAUCCGGAGCCUAGUAUCCAAGUACGCUGGGCGUACGAGGGUACACAGGGCGUACUCCUUCGGAUAAGACUUUGAAGUGCGUGCCAAGAACUUCUAAAAUGCGUAACUUUCGCAUACGAGCUCCGUUUUUGACAUUCUUUAUAUCCACGCGAAGGUGAGAAAAUACUCCACAACUUUCAUUUAGACUCCGUCGGCUAAUUUUGACUUUAUUUUUAAUUAUAUUUUAAUUAAUAGGUCGGGACACGAUAUCCUCGUUAAAAAUCCAUAAUUUCUUCAUCCGACGUCCGUUUUCGUCAGACUUUUUAUUGUUAUACUCCUAUUGUCGGGCUCUCCAACUUUUGUUUAGGUNAAUCUACGACUAUCAUUUAGAUACCUAAGGCUAAAUGUUAUUGUAUUGAAACUUCGCGUUUUUCGCUUAAUCGGUGUUGCCUGGUUUUGCCGAGAAUCUUCGGUUGGUCAUAACUUCUCCGUUAUAACUCGGAUUUUAGUGUUCUUUAUAUGUACGAAAACCUUGAUACGAUUCCUACCACUUUAUUUAACCCAAAUACGAUUUUAGGAAAGUUAAAUUUUGGCUUAAGUUUGACUGGUGUUACAUUUUAUUGUCUCAAAAUGUCGGGUUGUCACAUCAUCCCCCUGUUAGAGGGAAUUUCGUCCCGAAAUUCGAGUGUAAGAAGAAUUAAUGAUCAUGCUACGGAUAGAAGUUUUAUUUGCUUCUCGUGUUCUUAGGUGAACUCUGGUCCUCGCUUGGCAUUCCAGCGAAUCUUUCACUAUCGGGAUACGACUUUGCUUCUGUCGUUUGACUUUUCUGGGGUGAUAACUCUUCUUGGUCGAAUGUAUGUUGAAUGUUUUUGUGGUCUGUGAACAUAGUACACCUUGUACCCUACAAAUAGUGUCUCUAGAUCUUCAGAGCAAUCCCCGCUGCUCCUGAAUCAGGGUCAUGUGUUGAACAGUCAAACUCCUGUGUCUUAAGCUGUCUUGAGGUAUAAAAAGUGAUCUUUCCUCUUGCAUAAGAACACAACCAAACCCUUGGUUAGAUGCAUCACAUUACAUCACGAAAUAUUCUAUUCCUUUUUGGGAGGGAUAAUAUUGGUGCGAUGCAUCAGACUUACUUUAGCGUUUGGAACACUCUUUCUUGUUUACAGACAAUUACGGUGCUCUUCCAAGUGAGAACUUGUCCUAAAGAAUCCCCUCCUGAGGAGUUUCCUAAGCCCGCUAGGAAGUUCUCGCAUCUCGGUUGGAGCUAGACAAUAAGGUGAUUUGGCUACUAGGGUAGCCCCUGGAACUAAGUCGAUUCUGAAUUCGACUUGAUGCUGUGUUGGUACUCUCGGUAGUCCUUCUGGAAAGGUGUCGGGAAAACAGCGUACUUCUUGGAUGUUUUUGAAUGUUCUUCACUUCUCGACACAUCUCGGUGAUGUGUGCAAGGAAUACAUGAUAUUCCUUUCGUAAUCAUUUCUGAGCUUGCAUACACGAAAAGAUGAGAGGGUUCGUACUUGGUUUGUCGCUGUAAAUAACUAGAGCUUCGUCGUUUAGGGAGGUUAGGACGAACUGCUUUAUCAAAGCACCUGAUGUGGGGUCAAUGUAGACUUAACCAACUCUUACUGAUCAUGAUGUUGAAACCUUGGGGUGGAUUACCUGUCGUGAAGAUCUAAAAGGAGUAUGAGUACUUAUGAAUUAGGGGAAAAGGAUAGGUAUUUCUAAGUUUAUUCUUACGGAAGCACGAUCACUCGCGGUCUUGGGCAGUCUCCGUCCUGAAGUUCAUAGUAGAACUCAUACCAGGUUCAUCUAUCAUAGUCUCGAGUAUAAGAGUCGUUUAUAAUUAAGAUUGAAAAGGUAGUCAAAUAAAUGAUUCUUCUUUAAGCCCACAUCCCAACGAGGAAAAGAAGUUAAAGUGGAAUCAUCAAUUCUAAACCUGUAGAACCUUGAUUAUAUACCACCCCUAUGUAUACAUUCUUCAGCGAUAGAUCGACCGUAUGGGUCUUUAGAUUGAACUUGACGUACUGUACGAGUGAUACUUCGGGGAGGUUUUCUGAGGUUUCUUUGGAAAGGAUAAGAAACAUGAGGUACUCCAUGCAUGAGUACUUCGGUGUUCUGGAAUGACGGUUUCGCUAGAAAGACGUUUUCGGAGAAGGAGAAGUACGCACGAAGCUGGUAUUGCGAGGAUCGAAUUGAGUCAACUUGUAUGAUGAUAUCGGAAUUACUUGGAAAUAGAGGUAUUAGAUUUGAUCAUAAAGUUGUUACAGAUAAAACACAACAGUGCAACUUUUAACAGAGUUACAGUACUUUGGUUUUACUACAAGACUAUUGUUACGAACAGGGUAUAGUACGAAAGGCAAAAAUACGCAGCACGAGCAUCCCUAUACCGACGUGAUCCCGCAAAAGAUAAGACUUUGAUUGCGCUAGUUUUGGAUGGUUUAUAAGUCUGUUACAAUGAAACGCCUAAUAUCACGUUAACGUGGGUUCGGAGUAGGUUCUCCUGCAGCCGUGAUCCUGAGAAUCCUACCGUCUGCUCCAGAGUUCUUUGUUAUAGUUGGGUCCUUUAUUGCCUUUUUCCAUUCUGAGGUCAAACUCCUCCUGUUCCACUGUCAUUCUUCUCUGUUGGGCAAUCCCUCUUGAAGUGUCCCAUUAAACCACCAAGAUGGCAUAUCCGAUAAAUUUCGACAUUGGUGGUUAAAGUAAUGUGUUUGACCCGAGUCCUGCAGAAGCGGGUAGUGUGUCCGUUCUUGUUGCAGGUCUUGCAGUGUAACAGACGACAACUACCUAAGUGAUGGAAGUUGCACUUAUUGCAAUUCGGUAGGUUUCCAGCAUACUGUCUGGCCGGGUUAGGGAUAAUUGGGAUACUUGUAGUGUUGGUGAUAGGAGUUACAGAUGUCGUGGCUGCGAAGGCUGCCACCGGUGAUGGUUUCUUGUUUGUCCCUCGAGGUGAUUUGCCUUUAACUCUAUCCCAUAAUUUUCAUUUGUUGCUCUUUGGUUUGAGAUUCUGAGUGUCGUGGUAGUUUGUUACUCGUGGGUGUACUUGGUUGUUACUUGGGUUGGAAUUAUUGAAAACCAUCCUGCUAACAUUUGCGUUGUUAACGUUAAGGUGAUUCAGAACAGAUGUUACGGCAGCUGAGACUACAGCUUGAAAGGUAGCUGUAUCAAUCUGAAGAGUUGGUGUUGGGGUGAUGAGUUGAUUACUUUUCAUCGGCGACAUGAUUCUGUAACACGAAGGAUAACGGAGUUCGUGAGAUAUUAUGGUUGAACCUAGAUGUAUUUCGAUCGCUUUAAGUAAAGAGUAAGAGUAUGUUCUCGAAAGUUUGACCUACAUCCCUAUGAUGCAGUCCUAGUACAGUGUAGAAGUAUGUUUGUAGAAUGAUCUUAAGACGUUUGUUGUUCAAGCUGAGGUAUCGUUAGUUGGUGAAUAACAUGAUCUUACCACUACAGAUACAUGGAAAUGUUUUCGGAGUUAAAUUACUAUAGUUUGCUGACUUGACUAAAGCAUGUUUUCGGAUAGGCUCUAACGAAGGUAUGAUGGGGGGGUUUUGAACAAAGAGCGACACGGGAGUUAGCUGAUUGUCAAUAUCAUCGAUGUUUAAGAUGGAAUAAGUUUAGGAAAAUUUUAUCUUGAAGAAGGUCUUACAUCAUAUCAUGAGUAGAAAGGUUUUGGCCGCAUAAAGGCCUAACUAAUCAGUACUUGCAGUACAAGAUAGUUACACAGAAAAUGCUAUAUAGGACAUACACAGGAACAACGAUUCCUUUAAACAAGAAAGGGAAAAUAAAGCCUUUAUUACUGACGGCGGUCAUCCCUCUGGUGAACUCUCAGUUCAGCCAAUUGACGUUCCAUUAUUAAGAGGGUGUCUUUCGUACACUUUUGGGCAUACUCAUACCUCUAUGACUCCGGCUCGUGUUUUAGCUAUUGCUUGCAGCAGGGUCUCAUGGUCUCUCUCAGAUCUCUCACGAGUGUUUUCAAGAUGAUUGGUGUAGAUGGUGUGUAUUCUUGCGUUGGUAAUUAACCUCUUUGAUACAAUGGAGAGUCGUCCUGCUUUGAAUUUCGUUUCGAUCAACUCUACGGAUCAGGAUUGGUAGAACUUUGUCUGCUGAGCUCCCUUCGCUUAAGUUGUAGCAGCUUCGAUCUCCUUUUGACGACAUAGGUUGAUCUUGCUCUGCGCCCCAUGUUUCUAGGCAUUCUACCCAAGGAGGCGUCGAGCCAUGAAGAGCUGGACGAGGGUUAGGGUUUGAAUUCGGAGCUACCGAGGGUAGGUUCUUAUAUUCGAGUUCAGAGUUAUCAUCAUCCGAAGGGUCUUCAAUAUGGUGACCAUUCAAAAGGGAUUGGAUGAUCAUUCUCUGGUUCUUCUCUGAACCAUCCAGCAUUGCCUUUGUUCGGGAAGUACGGUUCGUCGUGGGGAUGGGGUCCAGCUAUGUUAUCUAUGCGGUAAUUGGGGUAUAAGAAUCUAACACAUAAGUAGUUUAUAGUAAUACACGAAAUACUCCUAUAGUAUUUUAGGUUUAUGUUCUAUUGUUCUCAUUGCGGUAUUGUGGGUAAGUUUUUAGACUUGUUGCAGCUCACAACCACACUUAGGCACAUGCUAGUCAACCCUCAGAUAAUAUAGUUGAUCAAGCUAUAUCAUCCCAGUUUUAACUAUAUGUCUCUAAGUCUAAUUGUGCUGCCCAACAAUCGUAAUACUUUUGCUCCGUCCUAGUGAUACUGAUUUUAGUAUGAAUGCAGGCACGUAUACUUACUUAAAUAUUUUAUUAUUUAAAAGUAUAGAAUCUUUAUCAGAGUAUUUUAAUCCCUAUUGUAUUUAUAGUUUGUAUAUCUUUUAUGGGUUGAUAUAAUCGAUUCACUAUAAACAAUGCUCUGAUACCAAUCUGUCACACCCCAAAACCGAGAACGGCGGAAACGUUCUGGGGCGGAGGACGUCAUGUAAUGUAUCACAACAAUGCAAAGUAGUAAACAAGCAACAACAUCAUCCAUUGCAUUAAUAGUAUAAUUUUAAUUACAUUUGAGUUCUUUCAUAGUAUAAUUCUACAAAAAUGAAUAUUCAAAAAUAAAAGACGAGUCUUGAUCGCUCCGUCUUCACAGAACCUGGUAGUCGUACCUGUCUAUCCGUAUCCUGGGAAUACAAGUUAUUUUGAAAGCGAGUAUCAGCAAUAAUGCUGGUGAAUUCAUAAGUAUUUAUGUGACUUUGAUUUGUAAAGCUGUAAAGAAAGACCUGUAAAUGUUUGAAGGAAAGUUUGUACCAACGAAUAUGUUUGUAAGUAAUUGUAAACGUUUGAAAAUCCUAGAAAAUCCCAUAUUUUCUACUAGUAUAAAAUGUAGCCUUCUACCAAGACUCGACUGUUUUGAAUGUUUGCUUCAGAAAUCCAAUAUUUGUUUAUAAGUGGAUGGUAGAUUAAAAGUCCCAAAAUGAACUACCAUAAUGUUUUUCAUGUCUAAAAUAGUAGAUUUGUGUACAGUUAUAAUCGCUAAGGUAUAUGAUAACUCCGUAAAUCAACGUGUUUUUAAUACUCCAUGUGAGUUUUAUAACCAUGCUAAUGACCCAGACUGCCUGUAACAACGUUCUUCAGGCGUUGGAAUGUUAUGACAUUUGUCACCCCAGACCUGCCGGUCUAACUGUAGCUAACAGUUUAGGUGCGGGAUUGUCAAUCCCGUAUAGAUCUAUACACAAGUAUCACGCUCCCCCUACAAGGGAUUAUGGUAUAUAAUACAGGACUUAAUAAUGCAUACUCGAAAGUACGUGAAAAGUCUCACAACCUAGUAUAAAACAGAUUUACGUAUGAAAAUGUCCAUUUGUUCUUGUAUAUGAAAAUACCCCUUUGAUAUGGUACUUGUAGUAUGUAAAAUUUUAUGCAUAUAUAGUACACUAUCUGAUGUAAUCGUAUCUCUUGAAAUUGUAUGUCUUGAAAUUUUUAUGCCUUGUAAUUGUAUAUAAUCAUAUCUCCUUAUAUAGUAUGUAAGGUAUUAGUAUAGACUUAUAAAUAAACCGACUCUUGUGUGAUUCCUCGUACUUGGAAUGGUAAGUAGUAUAUCCUAACUAUACCUAUUAUAGUUACUAGUAGUGUAUGUGUAUAACCGAAAUAUGUAUUUGCUACCCAAAGGUACUGAACCAACUGAUGGAAAACUUUUAUGUUUAUAU
This 7901-nucleotide long non-coding RNA is filed under the name Lactuca sativa (garden lettuce). RNAcentral describes it as "long non-coding RNA (LSAT_LNC002413)". Lineage: Eukaryota; Viridiplantae; Streptophyta; Magnoliopsida; Asterales; Asteraceae. The record is from RNAcentral.